Molecule: ribosomal RNA, 497 nt
Filed under: uncultured bacterium
Lineage: Bacteria
Description: partial 16S ribosomal RNA
Rfam family: Bacterial small subunit ribosomal RNA
Source: RNAcentral
GAUGAACGCUGGCGGCGUGCCUAAUACAUGCAAGUCGAGCGAACAGACGAGGAGCUUGCUCCUCUGACGUUAGCGGCGGACGGGUGAGUAACACGUGGAUAACCUACCUAUAAGCCUGGGAUAACUUCGGGAAACCGGAGCUAAUACCGGAUAAUAUAUUGAACCGCAUGGUUCAAUAGUGAAAGAGGGUUUUGCUGUCACUUAUAGAUGGAUCCGCGCCGCAUUAGCUAGUUGGUAAGGUAACGGCUUACCAAGGCAACGAUGCGUAGCCGACCUGAGAGGGUGAUCGGCCACACUGCAACUGAGACACGGUCCAGACUCCUACGGGAGGCAGCAGUAGGGAAUCUUCCGCAAUGGGCGAAAGCCUGACGGAGCAACGCCGCGUGAGUGAUGAAGGUCUUCGGAUCGUAAAACUCUGUUAUUAGGGAAGAACAAAUGUGUAAGUAACUAUGCACGUCUUGACGGUACCUAAUCAGAAAGCCACGGCUAACUACGUG